GAUGAACGCUGGCGGCGUGCUUAACACAUGCAAGUCGAACGAAGCACUUUAUUUGAUUUCCUUCGGGACUGAUUAUUUUGUGACUGAGUGGCGGACGGGUGAGUAACGCGUGGGUAACCUGCCUUGUACAGGGGGAUAACAGUUGGAAACGGCUGCUAAUACCGCAUAAGCGCACGGCAUCGCAUGAUGCAGUGUGAAAAACUCCGGUGGUAUAAGAUGGACCCGCGUUGGAUUAGCUAGUUGGUGAGGUAACGGCCCACCAAGGCGACGAUCCAUAGCCGACCUGAGAGGGUGACCGGCCACAUUGGGACUGAGACACGGCCCAAACUCCUACGGGAGGCAGCAGUGGGGAAUAUUGCACAAUGGGCGAAAGCCUGAUGCAGCGACGCCGCGUGAGCGAAGAAGUAUUUCGGUA
RNAcentral lists this ribosomal RNA (415 nucleotides) under uncultured bacterium. RNAcentral's name for it is "bacterial SSU rRNA". It matches the Rfam family "Bacterial small subunit ribosomal RNA", at positions 28 to 423 of the family's 1533-position model. The record is from RNAcentral.